GACGAACGCUGGCGGCGUGCUUAACACAUGCAAGUCGAACGAAGAGCGAUGGAAGCUUGCUUCUAUCAAUCUUAGUGGCGAACGGGUGAGUAACGCGUAAUCAACCUGCCCUUCAGAGGGGGACAACAGUUGGAAACGACUGCUAAUACCGCAUACGAUCUAAUCUCGGCAUCGAGGAUAGAUGAAAGGUGGCCUCUACAUGUAAGCUAUCACUGAAGGAGGGGAUUGCGUCUGAUUAGCUAGUUGGAGGGGUAACGGCCCACCAAGGCGAUGAUCAGUAGCCGGUCUGAGAGGAUGAACGGCCACAUUGGGACUGAGACACGGCCCAGACUCCUACGGGAGGCAGCAGUGGGGAAUCUUCCGCAAUGGACGAAAGUCCGACGGAGCAACGCCGCGUGAGUGAUGACGGCCUUCGGGUUGUAAAGCUCUGUUAAUCGGGACGAAAGGCCUUCUUGCGAAUAGUGAGAAGGAUUGACGGUACCGGAAUAGAAAGCCACGGCUAACUACGUG
RNAcentral lists this ribosomal RNA (510 nucleotides) under uncultured bacterium. RNAcentral describes it as "partial 16S ribosomal RNA". It matches the Rfam family "Bacterial small subunit ribosomal RNA", at positions 28 to 507 of the family's 1533-position model. The record is from RNAcentral.